Molecule: ribosomal RNA, 380 nt
Filed under: uncultured eukaryote
Lineage: Eukaryota
Description: partial 18S ribosomal RNA
Rfam family: Eukaryotic small subunit ribosomal RNA
Source: RNAcentral
CAAUAGCGUAUAUUAAAGUUGUUGCAGUUAAAAAGCUCGUAGUUGGAUUUCUGCUGAGGACGAUCGGUCCGCCCACUGGGUGAGUAUCUGGCUCGGCCUUGGCAUCUUCUUGGAGAACGUUGCUGCACUUGACUGUGUGGCGCGGUAUCCAGGACUUUUACUUUGAGGAAAUUAGAGUGUUUCAAGCAGGCGCACGCCUUGAAUACAUUAGCAUGGAAUAAUGAGAUAGGACCUUGGUUCUAUUUUGUUGGUUUCUAGAGCUGAGGUAAUGAUUAAUAGGGAUAGUUGGGGGCAUUCGUAUUUAACCGUCAGAGGUGAAAUUCUUGGAUUUGUUAAAGACGGACUACUGCGAAAGCAUUUGCCAAGGAUGUUUUCAUUGA